RNAcentral lists this ribosomal RNA (2267 nucleotides) under Parapallasea lagowskii. RNAcentral's name for it is "bacterial SSU rRNA". It matches the Rfam family "Eukaryotic small subunit ribosomal RNA". The record is from RNAcentral. Lineage: Eukaryota; Metazoa; Arthropoda; Malacostraca; Amphipoda; Acanthogammaridae.
CCUAUCUGGUUGAUCCUGCCAGUAGUCAUAUGCUUGUCUCAAAGAUUAAGCCAUGCAUGUCUAAGUCCAAGCUGUGUUCACACGGCGAGACCGCGGACGGCUCAUUAAAUCAGUCGUGGUCCAAAUGGGCCAGUGCAAAUCCUACUUGGAUAACUGUGGUAAUUCCAGAGCUAAUACACGCAACUGAUAUCCCGAAGGCGGUGUUUUGUUCUUGCUUGCCUUGCGCUGGCACUGCUCUGACGGAUGCUUUUAUUAGACCAAGCCGCUGAGGACUUGAGGGUUCGCGCUCUCUUGUUUGACUCGUGUGAUGGUGACUCUGGAUAACCAAAUUCUGACAAGCGCACGUACUUCUCUUCUGAGCGAGACGGCGCUGCCACUUUCGAGUGUCUGCCUUAUCAGCUAUCAACCGUUCGUUAUGCGCGACCGAUGGCUUUGACGGGUAACGGGGAAUCAGGGUUCGAUUCCGGAGAGGCAGCCUGAGAGACGGCUACCACGUCCAAGGACGGCAGCAGGCACGCAAAUUACCCAAUCCCAGCAAAUGGGGGAGGUAGUGACGAAAUCUAACGAUGCGGGCGCCCUUUCUGGGGCCCCGCAAUCGGAAUGGGCACUUUCUAAACAACCUGUUGAGAACCUACUGAAGGGCAAGUCUGGUGCCAGCAGCCGCGGUAAUUCCAGCUUCAGCAGCAUCUAUUAAAGUUGCUGCGGUUAAAAGGCUCGCAGUUGAAUGUCUGUAUCGAGCGCAGGUCAGGUGGACGUUGGGGCGUGGAAGUACGGGCAGUUGGAUGUCCGGGGGGCCUCGUGCUCAACGGCUCCUUCGGCUUUUCCACACACCCCCGUCCCUUACAAGCCUCCUCGCUCGGGUACAUAACGGGAAUCGGUCAAACGGAGUGUGGUCUUGGGAGUUGGGGCGUGCGUGGCUUCGCGGUUGCGUGCGUUCUUUCUUUCGGGGCUGCGUCAAGCUCCAUCGGUUUCACGGUCACCUUGAGUAAAUCAGAGUGCUCAAAGCAGUCGUAGGGGCCUUGCGCCCUGUGAACAGUCUUGACGGACUGACUUGGUUUUGCAUGGCAUGUCGGAAGACGACGUCGUGUGCUGGCUCAGAGGAUAAAUCAGUGGUACAAGCCAGCCUCGACGUAAUGAUUAAAAGGGACGGUCGAGGGCAUUGGUAUUGCGAGGCGAGAGGUGAAAUUCUGUGACCCCCGCAAGACCUCCUGAAGCGAAAGCGUCUGCCAAGGACGUUUUCAUUAAUCAUGAAACGAAAGUUAGAGGAUCGAAGGCGAUCAGAUACCGCCCUAGUUCUAACCCUAAACGAUGCCAACCAUCAAUCCGCGCGUAGCACCCUUCUUAACGGGCUCGGCGGGCAGCUCCCCACUCACGGGAAACCAGAGCCUCUGGGUUCCGGGGGGAGUCUGGUUGCAAAGCUGAAACUUAAAGGAAUUGACGGAAAGGCACCACCAGGCGUGGACGCUGCGGCUUAAUUUGACUCAACACGGGCCAUCUCACCAGGCCAGCACUCUUGUACGAUUGACAGAUUGAGAGCUCUUUCUCGAUUCAGUGGAUGGUGGUGCAUGGCCGUUCUUAGUUGGUGGAGUGAUCUGUCUGGUUAAUUCCGAUAACGAACGAGACUCUCCCCUGCUAACUAGUCGGUUGGAUCUUGAUCAGUGGGUUGAGUGCCGAGUAACUCUCGCUGUGCGUGGUGUGCGUCUCGUUCCUCACGGUUCGUUGCGUGCUCAUGGUGUGGCGUUGGAUGCCUUGGAUCACACUGCACCCCAAGUCCGCCGCUUUGCUAUAACUCUUCUUAGAGGGAUUCACGGCACUGAAGCCGUAAGAGACUGAGAGCAAUAACAGGUCUGUGAUGCCCUUAGAUGCUCUGGGCCGCACGCGCGCUACAAUGCCGGGCACAGCAGGUGUUUCUCCUGCUCCGACAGGAGCGGGUAACCCUCUGAAAGCCAGUGUUCUUGCAAGUGCUUCCUCCCUCGUGGAGUUGCACAGAGGCGUGCUUGGGCCUGGGACUUGCAAUUCUUUCCCACCAACGAGGAAUGCCUAGUAGCGGCGGGUCACUGAGCCCGCUGUGACUCAGUCCCUGCCCUUUGUACACACCGCCCGUCGCUACUACCGAUUGGGUGUACCAGUGAGAGCCUUGGACUGGCGUCCGUUGUUGCUCGCAAGAGUGACAAGCGGGUCCGACGGAAAGAGGUCCGAACUGGUGCACUUAGAGGAAGUAAAAGUCGUAACAAGGUUUCCGUAGUGAACCUGCGGAAGGAUCAUUA